UUUCCAUUAGAUGGCUGAAAGCAAGUACU
Molecule: transfer RNA, 29 nt
Filed under: Bactrocera umbrosa
Lineage: Eukaryota; Metazoa; Arthropoda; Insecta; Diptera; Tephritidae
Description: partial tRNA-Lys
Source: RNAcentral